RNAcentral lists this ribosomal RNA (778 nucleotides) under uncultured bacterium. RNAcentral describes it as "bacterial SSU rRNA". It matches the Rfam family "Bacterial small subunit ribosomal RNA", at positions 723 to 1504 of the family's 1533-position model. The record is from RNAcentral.
GGCUUUCUGGACUGCAACUGACACUGAGGCACGAAAGCGUGGGUAGCAAACAGGAUAGAUACCCUGGUAGUCCACGCUGUAAACGAUGAGUACUAGGUGUCGGGGGUUACCCCCCUCGGUGCGUAGCUAACGCAUUAAAGUACUCCGCCUGGGGAGUACGCACGCAAGUGUGAAACUCAAAGGAAUUGACGGGGACCCGCACAAGUAGCGGAGCAUGUGGUUUAAUUCGAAGCAACGCGAAGAACGUUACAUAAGCUUGACAUCCCUUAGACCGGUGUUUAAUCACACCUUCCCUUCGGGGCUGAGGUGACAGGUGGUGCAUGGUUGUCGUCAGCUCGUGUCGUGAGAUGUUGGGUUAAGUCCCGCAACGAGCGCAACCCUUGUCUUUAGUUGCCAGCAUUCAGUUGGGCACUCUAGAGAGACUGCCAGGGAUAACCUGGAGGAAGGUGGGGAUGACGUCAAAUCAUCAUGCCCCUUAUGCUUAGGGCUACACACGUGCUACAAUGGGUGGUACAGAGGGUUGCCAAACCGUGAGGUGGAGCUAAUCCCUUAAAGCCAUUCUCAGUUCGGAUUGUAGGCUGAAACUCGCCUACAUGAAGCUGGAGUUACUAGUAAUCGCAGAUCAGAAUGCUGCGGUGAAUGCGUUCCCGGGUCUUGUACACACCGCCCGUCACACCAUGGGAGUCGGAAACACCCGAAGCCGAUUAUCCAACCGCAAGGAGGAAGUCGUCGAAGGUGGCGUCGAUAACUGGGGUGAAGUCUUAACAAGGUAGCCGUA